Long non-coding RNA from Galleria mellonella (greater wax moth), 1646 nucleotides. RefSeq lists it as uncharacterized. Lineage: Eukaryota; Metazoa; Arthropoda; Insecta; Lepidoptera; Pyralidae. The transcript has 3 exons. The record is from RefSeq and is a predicted model, not a curated record.
UCUUGAGCGCGCGAACCCUUCGUUUAGUAAUUCCUAUUCAUUCAUCUAUAAUCUAUUCUUGUUCUUUCACUAUCCAAGUUAUACGUUUCUGAAACUUCUUAUCUCUUUCCAUUAGAUCAGCGUAAUCUCUUGCACUGUAAGCCAGACUAUAGAGAGAGCUAUGCUCAGUUUCUUUGCGUGAUAGAAUCUGAAAUGAGGAUACCCGCAGUAGAGUCAAAGUGAUCAACAUAGCCUAAAGGAUAACCAAGCUGAAGAGGCAAGUCACGUACCGCGAGGAACCGACAACCAAUGGAGAUGAAAGGUUCUUUAGUGGCGAUCUCGGACAGGCAGACGCAGUGUAAUAUAACCUCCCACUAGAUGAAGCGACGAUUUAAAAUCAUCGCAAGGAGUCAGUGGAUACAGAAAGCAAAUCAAGAUCAUCUGAUGAUAAAUGACUACCGCUGCUCAUAAGCACUUGUAACACCGGAGGAAUUGCAGAUAUGCUGCCAUUUUUUGAAAAAGGAAUAUACCUUUUUCUUGAAGGUUACGGGGUGGUAUUGGUUGGGAAAUAAUGCUAUUGGGAGUUGGCUCCAAACCGUGAUUGUACGUGGAAGAAAUUGAAAACACAUGGAGAAAAACCGCCACUCAAUCUAUUAAAGUAGCUUGUAAUGCAGUAGAAGUAAUAAGUUUAUUUAUAAGAUAUUUAGGUCUAACAGAGUAUGAUGAUGUAUGAGUAUGUUAGAUAUGUCUUGACAUAUUAUAUAACAUACCCGUAAGCCACUUUAUGGGGGGAAGGGGUGUGUGGGCUGAGUUCACCCUUUAAUUGACAUUGUGCCCAUCCCAAGACAUGAAUAGAUCUUUUAGUUAUGUGUAAAGAUGUGUCUGAAAGUACAUAUGCGUUUUUUUAUGGAGCCAGCUUUCCCUCGCAAAAAAUGUGGAGGGAAGUUUUGAAUUAGAACAUACCUAUUUUUACUUAUAUAAUCAUAUUUUUAAAUAAAUUAUGACUGUCCAGUCUCACAUACAUAAAAAUUUUUUCUCGCAAUACUUUCUGAGUGACCUGGUAAAUUGUAAACUGGGUUGACUGACAUGUAGCAUAACUAGUCAAGCAUUCUUGAAAAAAAAAAUAUACGUAAAUAACCUACUCAAGAAAUUUAUAACAAUGAAAUGUAGGCUCAAAUCUCACUAACUACCAUCCUUUUUUAUUUGUACCUGUAUUUACUACUCUAAUUUGAAAACUCAUAUAUUCGUAUAAGUAUGAUAAUCUUGCAUUAUUGUUGGAAAUCUUUUAAAGAAUGUUAAUAGGUACCUACCCGAUAACAGACCACCGUGAUAUAUAUAAAAGGAACACAAUAAGGUAUUAACUGAUUCAGUCGUCACAUUGACAAAAAGCAAAAUCCAUUUGCUCGCCAUUUUUCUCUCGUAUUUUCGUAUUUUUUUCGCAGUCGCAGAACUUUCUCAGUAGAAUAUAAAGGUUUUACCUACCGUUCCGAAACGAAAGGGUUCCGUGGUCCUUAGGGCCCGGAAUCACAAUGAACGUAACAUAAUGAAACUUUUGCCAGUAGCGAUUCUUAGAAAACGUUUACUACUGGGGGUUUUAGUAGGUACUACAGUUACCUAUUAGAUAUGUAAGUAGAUAUUAUUUAUAAAUUUUAGUAAAUAAAUGGUGA